CUUGACAUAGUCGAUGCUUCUGGAAAUAUUUUGUUGAGUAUGGAGGUCAGCCAAGAUACCAGUUACAAGUAUCUUUGAGGUUUGUAGAGGGGUGAGUGAACUCAUGAGCUGUGCUAAAUCAUGCAGGAAGUCUCUAGGUGAACUCACUUGGACCACAUGGAAUUGCAAAUAUGUGUUAACCUGGGCCAUGUUACGCAGUUUUACAUACCUUGAUGUCAGAUAAAGCAAAUGACAGGAGAAGAAUCCCAGCUGCAAGCAAGUCACUUAUUUUACAAAUGUGAGCAUUCCAUGACAUUGCAUGAAGGAGGAUGCAGGACUGCAGACCUGCAAACAGACUC
Long non-coding RNA from Myiozetetes cayanensis, 338 nucleotides. RefSeq lists it as uncharacterized. The record is from RefSeq and is a predicted model, not a curated record. The transcript has 3 exons. NCBI's taxonomy places the organism in Eukaryota, Metazoa, Chordata, Aves, Passeriformes, Tyrannidae.